GUGGACGUGGUGCACGGAGCACAGCUGCGCUGGAUAUCCUCUCUAGUCCUAUGUGUAGUCCGCAGUCAACCGGGGUUCGACUCCCCGCGUCCACA
Molecule: non-coding RNA, 95 nt
Organism: Mycena polygramma
Lineage: Eukaryota; Fungi; Basidiomycota; Agaricomycetes; Agaricales; Mycenaceae
Source: the annotation of a GenBank genome assembly